AACGAACGCUGGCGGCAUGCCUAACACAUGCAAGUCGAACGAGACCUUCGGGUCUAGUGGCGCACGGGUGCGUAACGCGUGGGAAUCUGCCCCUCGGUUCGGAACAACAGUUAGAAAUGACUGCUAAUACCGGAUAAUGACGAAAGUCCAAAGAUUUAUCGCCGAGGGGAUGAGCCCGCGUAGGAUUAGCUUGUUGGUGGGGUAAUGGCCCACCAAGGCGACGAUCCUUAGCUGGUCUGAGAGGAUGAUCAGCCACACUGGGACUGAGACACGGCCCAGACUCCUACGGGAGGCAGCAGUGGGGAAUAUUGGACAAUGGGCGAAAGCCUGAUCCAGCAAUGCCGCGUGAGUGAUGAAGGCCUUAGGGUUGUAAAGCUCUUUUACCCUAGGGAUGAUAAUGACAGUAUCUGGAGAAUAAGCUCCGGCUAACUCCGUGCCAGCAGCCGCGGUAAUCUGAGACCUCGACGACG
Molecule: ribosomal RNA, 470 nt
Filed under: uncultured bacterium
Lineage: Bacteria
Description: bacterial SSU rRNA
Rfam family: Bacterial small subunit ribosomal RNA
Source: RNAcentral